GCCCCACGUGGUCUAGCGAUUAGGAUUCCUGGCUUUCACCUUGGUAGCCCGGGUUCGACUCCCAGCGCAUGAGGCA
Molecule: non-coding RNA, 76 nt
Organism: Paragonimus heterotremus
Lineage: Eukaryota; Metazoa; Platyhelminthes; Trematoda; Plagiorchiida; Troglotrematidae
Source: the annotation of a GenBank genome assembly